UACGAAGGGGGCGAGCGUUGUUCGGAUUUACUAGGCGUAAAGGGCGCGUAGGCGGCCUUGUCAGUCAGGCGUGAAAGCCCCGGGCUCAACCUGGGAACGGCGCUUGGGACGGCGAGGCUGGAGUUCGGGAGAGGAGAGUGGAAUUCCCAGUGUAGAGGUGAAAUUCGUAGAUAUUGGGAAGAACACCGGUGGCGAAGGCGGCCUGCUGGACAGCACCUGACACUGAGACGCGAAAGCGUGGGUAGCAAACAGG
This 253-nucleotide ribosomal RNA is filed under the name uncultured bacterium. RNAcentral describes it as "partial 16S ribosomal RNA". It matches the Rfam family "Bacterial small subunit ribosomal RNA", at positions 524 to 776 of the family's 1533-position model. The record is from RNAcentral.